Molecule: small RNA, 758 nt
Filed under: Rattus norvegicus (Norway rat)
Lineage: Eukaryota; Metazoa; Chordata; Mammalia; Rodentia; Muridae
Description: uncharacterized LOC103691816
Source: RNAcentral
GAUGCCAGCCCCGUGCUCAUGGCUUCUCAGUCUCCAGAACUGAGACAUAAAUGUCUUUUCACUAGAAAUUACUCGGCGAUAGUCCUCUACAGCAAUACUGAAUGAAGCCAGAGGGAGGCGGUGAGAACUCCCUGGGGGAGCCAAGGAGCACUGGGACAGUACCGCCAAAAAUGUCUCAGAUGAGAGUAGAGCUGGAGGCCCAGAGGAGCCUCCGUACACAGCAGCUUCUCUGCCUACAAGGCAGUCCUGUGUUUUGCAGGUGGCUGAAAAUGGAGCCUCAGAACGAAGCUUUCUACAUACAGAGCUAAACGUAGCCAGGGAGACUCCAAGAAGCUUCUGACGUGGAGAAGGGCAGCAAGGAAACUCCAGGGAGGGCCUAUUAGCACAGGAUGCAGUCGGGCUGAGUGCAAAUCUCCCCUCUGUCACCACAUGGUCAACUGUGUGUCCUUAAGAGGCUGGCUUGUGCCCGUUCACUCACUGGUCAAGAGCGAUAUGGAGGAACUAUUGGCAUCCCUCCAGUAUCUACCCCUGCCUUCUCCCAACAGGGCGCAGAUACAUAAUGCUGUUACAAUGCUGGCCAGGAAACAACAUCCCAGCCUCCCGGGAGCUGGGUAUAAGUAGGGAUGACGAGAGUAUAUCGUGUGCCUUAUGCCAUCUCAUCAUCCUAGCAAGUGUCCAAAAUCAACACCGGGACUCCCAUGUGUCAGCUGAAGCAAUGGUUGUUCAACAAAAGGCUUGACAGCCGUGGCCUGAGAGAU